GCUUACGGCCAUACCAGCCUGGGUACGCCCGAUCUCGUCUGAUCUCGGAAGCUAAGCAGGGUCGGUCCUGGUUAGUACUUGGAUGGGAGACCUCCUGGGAAUACCAGGUGCUGUAAGCA
Molecule: ribosomal RNA, 119 nt
Filed under: Salmo salar (Atlantic salmon)
Lineage: Eukaryota; Metazoa; Chordata; Actinopteri; Salmoniformes; Salmonidae
Source: RNAcentral